RNAcentral lists this ribosomal RNA (477 nucleotides) under uncultured bacterium. RNAcentral describes it as "bacterial SSU rRNA". It matches the Rfam family "Bacterial small subunit ribosomal RNA", at positions 28 to 507 of the family's 1533-position model. The record is from RNAcentral.
GAUGAACGCUGGCGGCGUGCUUAACACAUGCAAGUCGAACGGAGCUAUGACACGGAGUCUUCGGAUGAAGUGCUGUAGCUUAGUGGCGGACGGGUGAGUAACACGUGAGCAACCUACCUUUGCAGGGGAAUAACUCUGGGAAACCAGGGCUAAUACCGCAUGCCGUGCGCUUGGGGCAUCCCAGGUGCAUGAAAGGAGCAAUCCGGCAGAAGAUGGGCUCGCGUCCGAUUAGGUAGUUGGAGAGGUAACGGCUCCCCAAGCCGACGAUCGGUAGCCGGACUGAGAGGUCGAUCGGCCACAUUGGGACUGAGACACGGCCCAGACUCCUACGGGAGGCAGCAGUGGGGAAUAUUGGGCAAUGGGCGGAAGCCUGACCCAGCGACGCCGCGUGAAGGAGGAAGGCUUUCGAGUUGUAAACUUCUUUGGGGAGGGACGAAGAUGACGGUACCUCCAGAACAAGCCACGGCUAACUACGUG